CCUACGGGGGGCAGCAGUGGGGAAUAUUGGACAAUGGGGGGAACCCUGAUCCAGCCAUGCCGCGUGUGUGAAGAAGGCCCUCGGGUGGUAAAGCACUUUCAGUGAGGAAGAACGCCUGGUGGUUAAUACCCAUCAGGAAAGACAUCACUCACAGAAGAAGCACCGGCUAACUCCGUGCCAGCAGCCGCGGUAAUACGGCGGGUGCGAGCGUUAAUCGGAAUUACUGGGCGUAAAGCGCGCGUAGGUGGCUUGAUAAGCCGGUUGUGAAAGCCCCGGGCUCAACCUGGGAACGGCAUCCGGAACUGUCAAGCUAGAGUGCAGGAGAGGAAGGUAGAAUUCCCGGUGUAGCGGUGAAAUGCGUAGAGAUCGGGAGGAAUACCAGUGGCGAAGGCGGCCUUCUGGACUGACACUGACACUGAGGUGCGAAAGCGUGGGUAGCAAACAGGAUUAGAUACCCCAGUAGUC
This 465-nucleotide ribosomal RNA is filed under the name Vreelandella stevensii. RNAcentral's name for it is "partial 16S ribosomal RNA". It matches the Rfam family "Bacterial small subunit ribosomal RNA", at positions 338 to 795 of the family's 1533-position model. Lineage: Bacteria; Pseudomonadati; Pseudomonadota; Gammaproteobacteria; Oceanospirillales; Halomonadaceae. The record is from RNAcentral.